AAAUCACGUUCAGGGAAAAAAUUUUACUGAUGCGAAUGUAAAAUCGUACGAAUAAAACUACGUGAAUCAUUUGUCCCCGAGUGAGUGCUGGCGAAAUAGUCUCUUAAUAUUACCAAUUUCGAAACCAAACG
This is a long non-coding RNA of Frieseomelitta varia, 131 nucleotides long. RefSeq lists it as uncharacterized. The transcript has 3 exons. Lineage: Eukaryota; Metazoa; Arthropoda; Insecta; Hymenoptera; Apidae. The record is from RefSeq and is a predicted model, not a curated record.